This is a long non-coding RNA of Alexandromys fortis (reed vole), 232 nucleotides long. RefSeq lists it as uncharacterized. The record is from RefSeq and is a predicted model, not a curated record. The transcript has 3 exons. NCBI's taxonomy places the organism in Eukaryota, Metazoa, Chordata, Mammalia, Rodentia, Cricetidae.
CUGAUGAGAAGCCAAGAAACUUUGAGACAUCAAGCCAUUAAUUCAUUAUGCUUUCCAGUUUAGUGUUUGUAUGAGAAUCUUAAAUGUGCAAAAAGUGCUACAUUUCUUUUGGUAAGACGAAAGCAAAUAUACUUAUAAAUCAUUGUAUUAUAGGUAAUAAUGUAAAAUCAAUACUUCCUUGCUCUCUACGUUGGUAAAUUUCAUUUUGCAAUAACUGAAUAAAAUACCAGCA